GCUAGGCAUGGUGGUGGGUGCCUGUAAUCCCAGCUACUCAGGAGGCUGAGGCAGAAGAAUCACUUGAGCUCAGGAGGCGGAGGUUGCAGUGAGCCGGGAUCGUGCCACUGCACUCCAGCCUGGGUGACAGAGUGAGACUCUGUCUCUA
Papio anubis (olive baboon) is the source of this 148-nucleotide unclassified non-coding RNA. It matches the Rfam family "Metazoan signal recognition particle RNA". From Rfam's summary of the family: The signal recognition particle (SRP) is a universally conserved ribonucleoprotein. It is involved in the co-translational targeting of proteins to membranes. Lineage: Eukaryota; Metazoa; Chordata; Mammalia; Primates; Cercopithecidae. The record is from Ensembl.